RNAcentral lists this transfer RNA (72 nucleotides) under Olea europaea subsp. europaea. The record is from RNAcentral. Lineage: Eukaryota; Viridiplantae; Streptophyta; Magnoliopsida; Lamiales; Oleaceae.
ACUAUAUACCUUCAUCGCUCCAUCAGUGCCUAGUUUUUUGGAAUGACAAGGGCGAAGCAGAGGUGGUGCAGG